Molecule: ribosomal RNA, 260 nt
Filed under: uncultured archaeon
Lineage: Archaea
Description: partial 16S ribosomal RNA
Rfam family: Archaeal small subunit ribosomal RNA
Source: RNAcentral
AGGGUGUAAACGCUGCGGGCUUGGUGUUGGGGUCCUUAGUGGGCGCCCAGUGCCGGAGAGAAGUUGUUAAGCCUGCUGCUUGGGGAGUAUGUCCGCAAGGAUGAAACUUAAAGGGAAUUGGCGGGGAGCACCGCAACGGGAGGAGCGUGCGGUUCAAUUGGAUUCAACGCCGAAAAACUCACCAGGAGCGACGGAUAUAUGAAGGUCAAGCUGAUGACUUUACCUGAUUUUCCGAGAGGAGGUGCAUGGCGUAGUCGUGU